RNAcentral lists this ribosomal RNA (419 nucleotides) under Bacteroides fragilis. Its description in RNAcentral is "partial 23S ribosomal RNA". It matches the Rfam family "Bacterial large subunit ribosomal RNA", at positions 172 to 588 of the family's 2925-position model. Lineage: Bacteria; Pseudomonadati; Bacteroidota; Bacteroidia; Bacteroidales; Bacteroidaceae. The record is from RNAcentral.
GUUGGAGGCUAACGCAGGGAACUGAAACAUCUUAGUACCUGCAGGAAAAGAAAAUAAAUAAUGAUUCCCCUAGUAGUGGCGAGCGAACGGGGAUUAGCCCAAACCACCCAUGUUACGGCAUGUGUGGGGUUGUAGGACCACGCUCUCGCAAGACAGUUAUUGAGAAGAAACGACUGGAAAGUCGUGCCAUAGACGGUGAUAGCCCGGUAUUCUAAGGUAACCGAAGCGUAGUGGUAUCCUGAGUAGCGCGGAGCACGAGGAAUUCUGCGUGAAUCAGCCGGGACCAUCCGGUAAGGCUAAAUACUCCCGAGAGACCGAUAGCGAACCAGUACUGUGAAGGAAAGGUGAAAAGCACUUCGAAUAGAAGAGUGAAAUAGUCCCUGAAACCAUGCGCCUACAAGCGGUCGGAGCAGCUUAAG